This 93-nucleotide ribosomal RNA is filed under the name Castor canadensis (American beaver). The record is from RNAcentral. Lineage: Eukaryota; Metazoa; Chordata; Mammalia; Rodentia; Castoridae.
GUCUACGGCCAUAACACCCUGAACAUGCCCAAUCUCGUCUGAUCUUGAAAGCUAAGCAGAGUCGGGCCUGGUUAGUACUUGGUGGUGUUUUUU